Molecule: long non-coding RNA, 1225 nt
Filed under: Cricetulus griseus (Chinese hamster)
Lineage: Eukaryota; Metazoa; Chordata; Mammalia; Rodentia; Cricetidae
Description: lncRNA (ENSCGRG00000025829.1)
Source: RNAcentral
CUCUGCUCUCUCUGGAGCCACCAUGUGAUCCCGGGAAGAGGACACCAGCUGAAAGCAUCCUCGAAGACAUGAGAAGUUGUUGCUGGCUAGCGUGAGACAGAACCACAGUGCCAUGGCCACGUGCUGAUGGUGUGCAUAUUGUGGCCAUUGCCAGGACCCAUGCUUUCACCUGGAGUUUGAUGAGAAGGCCAUGGCAGGUUUUGAGUUGACACACCAGAGAAAAUUCAGCAUGGAUUCUAUGUGAAGAAGGCUUGGUAAAAAGAUCACUGUCAGCUGGACAGAUUCAAGACAGUUGGCUUCAGUGGACACGGUUGUGGAGGAAUCUCGGCUUCUUCUAGCAAUGGCCACAGUUCUGACAUCGUUCGUACCAGGCCUUCCCCUGCCACUGUCCUGGUGGGGAGAAAAGGGGAGGCUGCUGGCAGGGUAGGAGUGGGCAUUGUGCGUGGGCACUCUGGGGGUGGAAUGCAGUGUUUUCUGUGUUGUUUUGUAAAAUAUGACAACUGUAACUUUCUGAUCUUGCUAUGGGACCCUGUCUUGGUUCUUUGGUUGAAACACAUUGGAAUUGUACAACUGGCGGCUUCUUCAGUUCUAAGUGCAUGACACAUGCAACAAAACUGAACAAGCUAGGGUCCUGCGCAUUGGCUCCAUCCUCAGUCCUAAACUGCUUAGCCAGGCUGUGCUUUUGACCUUCCAGAGUGUUUUUUGUUUGUGAGUUAGUUAGUUUGUUUUUCUUUUAUAUAUAAUAUUGAAGGUUUUAGUUGUAGUUAAAGUAAACAUAGGAAAAAGUAUGUAUUCCAUCAUCCAUAGGGGAAGGAAACUUACUUAUCAUUUUGAAAAUAAUAAUAAAGAACAAUAAUCUUGAGACAGAAUUUCAUAUGGUAUUCCAGGCGAGCCUUAACCUCUUAGUGACUGUUCUGCUUCAGACCCCUCAGUGAAAGGACCAGAUGUUCACCACCAUACCCUGCUUAAAAUGUAAAAUAUUUGUUUAACCAAAUAUUUAAAUAAAAUUCAGGAGACUGGAGAGAUGGCUCAGUGGUUAAGAGCACAGGCUGCUCUUCCAGAAGUCCCAGGUUCAGUUCUUACCACCCACAAAGUGGCUCACAACAGCCUGUACUUCCAGGGAAUCCAGGGCCUUCUCUGGUCUCCGUAGGCACUGCAUACAAGGACAUACAUGCAGGCAAAGUACCUCUACAUAUGAAAAUAAAUCCUUAAAAAAUGAAACGGA